This 198-nucleotide ribosomal RNA is filed under the name uncultured bacterium. RNAcentral's name for it is "partial 16S ribosomal RNA". It matches the Rfam family "Bacterial small subunit ribosomal RNA", at positions 328 to 539 of the family's 1533-position model. The record is from RNAcentral.
ACGCUCGACACCUACUGGAGGCAGCAGUGGGGAAUAUUGCACAAUGGGGGAAACCCUGAUGCAGCGACGCCGCGUGAAGGAAGAAGUAUUUCGGUAUGUAAACUUCUAUCAGCAGGGAAGAAAAUGACGGUACCUGACUAAGAAGCCCCGGCUAACUACGUGCCAGUAGCCGCGGUAAUCUGAGCGGGCUGGCAAGGC